Molecule: long non-coding RNA, 1934 nt
Organism: Nannospalax galili (Upper Galilee mountains blind mole rat)
Lineage: Eukaryota; Metazoa; Chordata; Mammalia; Rodentia; Spalacidae
Exons: 5
Source: RefSeq, a predicted model, not a curated record
UCUCUGAUUCCAGAGAUCUGCAGAUGUCCUUCCAAUACCACUAGCACUGAGAAAAAGUUGUCAAAGUUCCUUCUUCAUACAGGCCUGAGUUUGCAGGAAAAACAUGCUGCCAGGGAUGGAAGUUGCUAGGGGCCAGAUGACCUCCUGGGAAUGUGGGGGCCAACUGAGACUUGAAGCAUCCUGAGUGAAGUGGGCACUAAGUUCUGAGGAUCCUGCUUCUAGUCAUCACUGUGGAAAGCAGCUACAUCAGCGAGCACGCUGGCUAAGGACCCUUGUCCUCUAGCAGAGUGAUCUCCUGCUGAGGCAUGGCUGCUACACUCUGGACUAACAACUCCUGACAGCAAGGUGGCUGUGUUAGCUACUCUUUUUGUUUCUAUGCUAAAACGUCAUGAUCAAAGUCAACUUAUAUAGAAGGAUGAGUUUAUUUGGGCUUAUGGUUGCAGAGGAAGAGUUCACAAUGGUGGGGAAGGCAUGGCAGCAGGCAGCAGGAGCAGGAAGCUGCCUGAUUAUAUCCUUCUUAACUACAACAGCAGGAGUUGUUCCACAGACACUACAAGAUGAAGAUCAUGACGUGUAAACCAAACACAGUUCACAGGUCUGUGGUUGAAACAAGGGAAAUCUGCCGCCAGUACAAGCAGAAAUCUUUUGCCACUUUGGGGGCCCUGGCUCCUCUGGAAGCAGGAGUGAAGACUCUCAUUGACCCCCAACUCUGAAGAUGGGACUGGAAGCACAUUUUCUCCAUGGGACCCAGCUUCAGAGGCCAGGAGAGCAGCAAAGAGAGCAACGGGAUCACAGAUAAUCAUUUCAGAAAGAUGAGACAGAUUUGAAAUGGAUCAUUGGAGGUUAUGGUCUGCUCCUGGGAAAUGGACCAACCCUUUCUUCCAAGUACCUUCCUCCCUGCUUCAGUGUCCCCAGGAAGUACUUUCUAGGGUCUCUUUGACAUGUCUCAACUUCAAGCAUCAUCAUUCUUGUCUUGGGUCCACUGUGAACGGUUAUUUGAACAUAAGCACUGUGAUGCAAUGACAUUCUGAUCACCACAAAGGCCACUAAGUGACUAAGGGCGAGUAGCGGACACAGCGUGAAUCCACUGGACACGGGAUGAGUCACAUCCUGAGUGAGGCAGCAUGGCGUGGGAUUUCGCCACCCUGCUCAGAGUGGUACACCCGUUCAGAGCAUGAAUUGCUAAUUCUGCAUCUUUUCCGUUCGCUGCCUCCACUUGUGAUUGAUCAAGAGUAUAAGACCAUGGGCACUGAGACUGCACAGAAGGGACCUAUUCUUCUCAAAGGGAGAGAAUGAAGACUCUAUUGGGUUGGGCAAGAGACUUACUAGAUGGAAUUUUACAGCCACCAAAUCAAGGCUAGAGGGGUCAAUCAGUGCCACUUAAGUGGAUGUCUCAGUGCCCAAGAGUCUACACAGGCCCUCCUCAGCCUCACAGGGGCUGCUCUACGGCUUUGGAUCAGCUCCUCUUCUGAACUUGGAAACAGAAUAAGGCACCACUGCAGAGUGAUUGGAAAGCCGAUGUUCUUUGCCCUUUCCCAGCACUUCUGGGAAAAGCUGGCCAGCUUCUAUAUAGUGCAUCUGCAACAGAUCAGACCCACUCUUUCCAAGCCAAUUCUAGAUAAUCUCUUUUCUUGUUUUGUCUGUCUUCUUCACCACGGCCCUCUCCAUACUGGUUACACCUUCAGCCUUGAGAAAAGCAAAGUGAAGCCACGAACAGCCAGGAUUCGGAGGAGGUGGCCUUUGCCCUUCCCCCUUGCCCUGAGCCUGCCUUCUCUCCUUGCCCUCAAGACAGGGAGAGAGGAUGGCUGGGUGGUGGCCAGGCAUGAGACAAAGUUGAUGACUUUCAGCUCAACCUCAUAAUGAGGCAAUCUUUAGGAAUCCAGAACCUUCUUGCUUGCAGAUAUCUAAAUAAACAAGCGGCAGUACCUCCUUGA